RNAcentral lists this ribosomal RNA (385 nucleotides) under uncultured bacterium. RNAcentral's name for it is "bacterial SSU rRNA". It matches the Rfam family "Bacterial small subunit ribosomal RNA", at positions 30 to 418 of the family's 1533-position model. The record is from RNAcentral.
AUUGAACGCUGGCGGAAUGCUUUACACAUGCAAGUCGAACGGCAGCACGGGGCAACCUGGUGGCGAGUGGCGAACGGUGAGUAAUAUAUCGGAACGUGCCCAAUCGUGGGGGAUAACGUAGCGAAAGUUACGCUAAUACCGCAUACGAUCUACGGAUGAAAGCGGGGGAUCGCAAGACCUCGCGCGAAUGGAGCGGCCGAUAUCAGAUUAGGUAGUUGGUGGGGUAAAGGCUCACCAAGCCAACGAUCUGUAGCUGGUCUGAGAGGACGACCAGCCACACUGGAACUGAGACACGGUCCAGACUCCUACGGGAGGCAGCAGUGGGGAAUUUUGGACAAUGGGCGCAAGCCUGAUCCAGCCAUUCCGCGUGCAGGAUGAAGGCCUU